RNAcentral lists this ribosomal RNA (386 nucleotides) under uncultured bacterium. RNAcentral's name for it is "bacterial SSU rRNA". It matches the Rfam family "Bacterial small subunit ribosomal RNA", at positions 28 to 409 of the family's 1533-position model. The record is from RNAcentral.
GAUGAACGCUAGCGACAGGCUUAACACAUGCAAGUCGAGGGGCAGCGAGGGCGUAGCAAUACGCCUGUCGGCGACCGGCGCACUGGUGAGUAACACGUAUGCGACCUGCCCCCUACAGGGGUAUAACCCGUAGAAAUGCGGACUAAUCCCCCAUAGUCCCGUUGGCUGCAUGGCCAUCGGGGAAAGGUUUCCGGUAGGGGAUGGGCAUGCGGCGCAUUAGCUAGUUGGCGGGGCAACGGCCCACCAAGGCGACGAUGCGUAGGGGUUCUGAGAGGAAGGUCCCCCANACUGGUACUGAGACACGGACCAGACUCCUACGGGAGGCAGCAGUGAGGAAUAUUGGUCAAAUGGGCGCAGGCCUGAACCAGCCAAGUCGCGUGAGGGAA